CCUACGGGAGGCAGCAGUAGGGAAUCUUCCACAAUGGACGAAAGUCUGAUGGAGCAACGCCGCGUGAGUGAAGAAGGUUUUCGGAUCGUAAAACUCUGUUGUAAGGGAAGAACACGUACGAGAGUAACUGCUCGUACCUUGACGGUACCUUAUUAGAAAGCCACGGCUAA
Molecule: ribosomal RNA, 170 nt
Filed under: uncultured bacterium Dw-11
Lineage: Bacteria
Also listed under: 1 other name
Description: partial 16S ribosomal RNA
Rfam family: Bacterial small subunit ribosomal RNA
Source: RNAcentral